GGCCUGAUGGUCUAGUAGUAUGAUUCCUUGUUAGGGCUGAAUAAGCAAUCUCGAGGAGGUCCCGGGUUCAAUUCCCGGUCAGGCCC
Molecule: transfer RNA, 86 nt
Filed under: Agaricus bisporus var. burnettii JB137-S8
Lineage: Eukaryota; Fungi; Basidiomycota; Agaricomycetes; Agaricales; Agaricaceae
Also listed under: 1 other name
Description: tRNA-Pro
Rfam family: tRNA
About the family: Transfer RNA (tRNA) molecules are approximately 80 nucleotides in length. Their secondary structure includes four short double-helical elements and three loops (D, anti-codon, and T loops). Further hydrogen bonds mediate the characteristic L-shaped molecular structure. tRNAs have two regions of fundamental functional importance: the anti-codon, which is responsible for specific mRNA codon recognition, and the 3' end, to which the tRNAs corresponding amino acid is attached (by aminoacyl-tRNA synthetases). tRNAs cope with the degeneracy of the genetic code in two manners: having more than one tRNA (with a specific anti-codon) for a particular amino acid; and 'wobble' base-pairing, i.e. permitting non-standard base-pairing at the 3rd anti-codon position.
Source: RNAcentral